CUCUCUCUCUCUCCUGCGAAACCAGACCCUUUUUUUUCAGUUUCGGCUUGCCACGACCCCACCUUCACGCCUCCACCACCGCCACCACACGCCGCCACUUGGGAUGGCACUGGUUCCGUUGGAACCACCACACUCCCUACUUUCCAUUCCACCCCACCACCGCCUCGAUCCGCCACCGUGGUCGCUGGAAUCAGCCACGAAAGGUAGCGGUUUGGACAGAUUUUUACCAAACUUUCGACCCUUCGUUCUCUCUCAUUUCUCCACCAAAUUGGACGAGUAAGGUAUGGUUUUCUACCUAUUUUCCAUGAUCUAGCUGAUGGUUGGGUAGGAUUUCGUUAAUUUUGAGCGUAGAUUAACUGAACUCCAACUUAGGUUUUGGCCGGUUUUGGGUCUCCGAUUCCGGCCACUUCCGGUCAGUUUUUGGGGUAAGCCCAAGAACAAAAGUGACUCCAAAUGGGGUCUUGUACCUAGGGUAGGAGUCUUGAGCCGAGGUGUUGAGUUUUUCCGGCGAAGGGUUAUCGCUUUGGACACCCACGCUCUGCCAGCGCGUGGUGGCGCGUGGGCACUGUAGCAAAAGUGCAUUUUUGUCCAAAUGCGAUCUCCUGGUUGUCACGAGUGUGUAGGAUUUUACGGAUCCCAAUUCAUACAUCGUAUGACUAUCGAACGGAUUUUCGCAUGGUGUGCGUUAUUCGGGUUCGAUAGGUUCCGACCGUUGGAUCGACUCCAUUCCAAUUUAUGUUACUCUAGACUUUCCUAGGAACGAGUAGGAUCUCACGGAUCAUGAAUCGGAGCCCCGGAUGUUCCGAUUCAAUAAUUUAAAGUUUGAAGAUUUUUCGAUAACCGUUCGAUCGUGAGCAAUCUAACCGUCCUUUUUGGACCAAACUUACGGGACUUGUGUCUUAAACCUUGUGGAACUCUUAGGAACUUCCAGUUUGUUCCGUUCUUCGUACACUCGCUAGAAACUCGGGAAAUUAGGAUUUUAAUUCAAGUUCUCGUUCGAAACCCUUUAUAUUAAUCCCGUAUUUGUAUUCUGAAAUAGGUACUCCGACCACGCAUUCGCAGCAGGCGGGACCCUCUCAGGGUCAGGCAGUGUGGGAUUACUUGUGAGUGGACUUUGUUUUCAAAUCUUAUGCAUGGUUUUAUGGAUGAAAGAUUUAUGCUUAACGUUUUUAAUGAUUUAUUGAAUAUAUUAUAUUCGUGGGUUGAAUUUGAUGUUUGUUUAGCGCUUUGGCAUAGUUGGAUUUUGAAAGUAUAUUUUAUAAGGAUUUUGGGAAAUUUUAUGCAUGAUGUUUUAAAUGGUAUUUUGGAUAUAUUAUUUAUUCAAUUGUUGAAAGUGAUAUUUUUAUGAGGCAUUAGAAAUAUAUUUGGGUUUUGACAUAUUUGAGUAUCUUGAGUAUGUAUAUGGAUUUUGAGAAUUUAUAUAAAUGUUUGGCUAUGUGUGGGGUACUUGGGUUGUUGAGGUGAGAUUUUGGAAAGUGUUGAGUAUAGAAUGUCAGUUUGGAGUGCUAUAAGCACUACCCUAUGUACCUCCCCUGAUUUGGAACUUGGAUACGGUUACUUGAGAUACUCGGGGCAUCCUUGACGGGAUGUUGCUGUAGACCCUUGAUUGGGUAGUCUGCGCGCGUAGGACUGGUCACAGACGUACAAGUUUUGAGGGUAUCAACUGUACGUGCUGGCUGAGAGUUAGUCCCCCGGUUGGACGGCUCGUUCCCUAGUUACAUGGUGAAUUGAGGACUCUUCAUGGGGACUCUGCCAUGGUGACUAGUCAAACAAUCCCCCGGUUGGAUUGUUUCCCCGGUACAAGUAGGUGUUGGUCAUAUUUAUAUUAUUAUUAUUACAUAUAUAUAUAUCCCUUAUAUUAUAUUUACAUAAGUAUAUAACUAUUCAUUUAUUCUUAUUUUUCGGUGAGGAUACUUCCUUGCCGGUCGUGCCAAUGGGUACGCUUUUGAGAGUUUGGUUUGGGACUUUUAAUAUUUAAUUGGUGGUUUGUUUAGUGUUCUGUUUGGAUUUUGGACUUGACAUUCCGGCUUUGGUUUGGUUUUGACUUAUGUAAAUAUUUAUUUGAUUUUGAUGAUUUGAGAUGCUUUCGGAUUUUCUUGCUUGGUUUAUUUAAACAGUGGGGUUAUAUUAUGUUGGUUUACACUGAACUGAACUUUAUUUUUGUCCACUCACAUUUUUCUGUUUUGCGCCCCCAGCCAGUAGUCGACUGAGCUCCGCAGCUAGGCCGGAUCGUGUGCUCACGAGCCUUGAGCCAUUGUAGGAUUUCUUCAUCCUGUUUUCCUUGAACUUUGUUUUUGUUGUAUUUAAACUCCUUAGAUAUGCUCUGUUAUCGCCCUUGCUAGGGUUGAUCUUUGAGGCCGGAGGCCUUUGUUGUAAACUGUUUGAUUGCUUUAAAGCAUGCUGCUGGUUGAGUACUUUAAACUGUGUUUUUGAGCAGGUUGAAUUUUUGGGGAAAUGCUCAAUUUACAGGGGAGACUCUGCCAAAAUUUUUGGUAGAAAGUCUCGAUUCUUAGUAAGUGGGCCCGGCAUCGGGGAGAUGUCGGUAACGAGACGGGAUUCACUUCGGUUUUCGGGAAUUUCGGGGCGGGUCCUGUCAAUUCUGGCCACUUCUGCUCGUUUUUCGAGUUAUGCUCAAGAACAAAAGUGACUCCAAAUGAGGUUUUACGUCUAGGGUAGGAAUCUUGGCCGACGGUUUGGAGUAUUUCCUGCCGCAGGAAUUUGAUCUGCACACCCACGCGCUGCCGGCUCGUGGCGGCGCGUGGGUACUGUGUUUUGGGGCAAAGUUCUGUCCUAAAAUGAUCAUCGCGAUCUAACAAGUGCGUAGGUACUUUCGGAUUCCAAUUUGGUUAAUGUUUGAACCCCAAACGGAUAUCGCCUAUUGUGCGAUUUCCGGGUUCGAUAAGUUUGAACUGUUGGAUCGCUGUCAAUUUCAUAUAUGUUGAUUAAGACAAUUCUAGGAUCGUGUAGAAUUUGACGGAUCGUGAAUUGGAGUUCCGGAUACUCCGAAACCAAGAACCCUAGGGCAAGAUUAAUUGUUGUCAUCUGAUCGUGAUCAAUCCGACCGUUCGAUUUGGACCAGACUUGCAGGGUAGGUUCAAAAUAGUGUUUAAAUGACCCUGUAAAUGAGCCUUGACUGAGAAUGAGUUAUCUGGGUCAUGUUAUGUAUUGAGUGUAGAUAGUUAUUUAUAAAUUGCUAGAUUGUGCAUAUAAGUAUAGUUGAGAAUCGAUUUAUUAGAAAAUUGAUAUAAAGGUCGGGUAAUGGAUUGAAAAAUAAAGGGAGAGUAUUGAUAUAAGUUUGGGAGAAUCUCGGUUUUGAGAUGUUCUUAAACUAAAAUAGAGUGAGUUCAAUGUAUGACUUAUUUAUAAUCAGUAUAUGAUUGUUACGAGUAUUGGGAAGUUGCAAAGCAUUGUUUUAGAGUUGUGAAUAUGAUUGAGUACAUCACACACAUGAGAAUUCAGUUUGACUUGCAAAAUACAUGGCAAUAUGAUGAAUGAAUAAGAUAUUCAAUUACAGUAUUAAAGGGAAAGAACUACGUGUGGCUUGAUCCCUCAAUAAGGGUACGUAGGCAGCAUAAUGUUACAAGGUGCACCCACAAGUUAGAGUGUUUGAGAUUGCUAAUGUACUAUUGAUGUUUUGAAAGUUGAGAUGAAUUUUGUUAGUAGAAUGAUUUAUUUGAUUUGUUGAGGCCUGAGGCCAGAAUGAUAUGAUGCUUGAUUGCUUGGAUAUAAUUUAAUGCAUGCUGAAUGAUUGGGAUAUAUAAAUGUUUGUUGACAGGUGGAAACUUUUGAGAAACAAGCAAAUUACAGGGGAGACUGCUGAAUUUUCGGCAAAAGUCUAGCUGAUAGAAAAAUUCGUUUCUAGUUAGAAGGACGAUUUGGUCAUUUCUGCUCGGCAUUUUUCAGGUGUCGGACACGCAUAGGGUUUGGCUCGAAUUCCAAAGUGGUCGGGUCCUGUCAUAUAAUUCUUCCUAGCUUCCAACAAAUUGAAUAGAUAUGGAGAAAGGUUCAUUCAAGUCAGCUUUCUUCAUUGUGCUCUUUCUUGUUUCGUAUGAUGGUAAAAUACUUCUCUCAAUUUUUAUUUUUGUUACAAUGAAAGAGAAAUUUAUUCUUGACAUACUAUAAUCGUAUGUUAAUCCUAACAACCUAGGCUAACUUGAAGGGCUGACUUCUUUGAACAAUACAACUGCAUAUAGGAAUUUUUUUUCUUCUCUGACGUGGUUGAGUUCACUUAUUUUUAAAAUGUGUAUAUGUCGUUCAUACAUUGUUAAAAUUAUAUACUUUAAUCUAACAAUUGUCAAUAUUUUCAGCCAUAAAGUUGAGUUUAAGCGUAUAUUUUUGUAACGUAAACUUAUGCAUAAAGCAGUAUGUUCACAAUAAGGGCAAAAAACAAUUUUAUUAUGAAUUAUGGAAAUAUUAAUUGUGGUAGGUGUGCAAUUUGGAGCCGAAGCAAGAGGUCCAAUUGUUCGUUAUCCGUGCCAAACAUCUGCUCUAUGCGGCCCAUGCACAUGCGUCGAGAAUUAUUGUAAGUGUCCGCCAGAUAAAAUAUCGAAGUUCAUUCUUCAAGACAUCUCUACACACCCGCAGGCACAGCAGGAAAUGCCAUAAUCAGCGCUACUUGAUACAUUAAUAUAUAUAUCAUUGCUCGAAUGACUGUUAAAUGAGGCUUGACUGUUUGUGAACUAAUUUGUUUAUGUUUGAAUUACGAGUUUAUGUUAUAGUAUUUUAUUAUUUUCUUGAGUGUUAUUUUAAGACUCGAAGGUUAUUUUGCUAUUUAUUUAUUUAUUAAUGUCAUUGUGAUUAUUAUUAAAAGAGUACUUGACCGAGUGUUAUUGGAUGAUUUAAUGCGUAUGAGUUAUUAUGUAAUUGUUUUUUUUUUCUCUAAGGAUAUAUUAUAUUGUGAUUAGUUGUGAAGAGUUGAGAAAAGAUUUGAUAUACAGAUUUGUGGAAUAAAGGG
Molecule: long non-coding RNA, 4954 nt
Filed under: Prunus dulcis (almond)
Lineage: Eukaryota; Viridiplantae; Streptophyta; Magnoliopsida; Rosales; Rosaceae
Description: sRNA ncRNA
Source: RNAcentral